Molecule: ribosomal RNA, 269 nt
Filed under: uncultured bacterium
Lineage: Bacteria
Description: partial 16S ribosomal RNA
Rfam family: Bacterial small subunit ribosomal RNA
Source: RNAcentral
UUUGAUGGCGACCGGCGCACGGUGAGUAACACGUAUCCAACCUGCCGAUGACUCGGGGAUAGCCUUUCGAAAGAAAGAUUAAUACCCGAUGGCAUAGUUCUUCCGCAUGGUGGAACUAUUAAAGAAUUUCGGUCAUCGAUGGGGAUGCGUUCCAUUAGGUUGUUGGCGGGGUAACGGCCCACCAAGCCUUCGAUGGAUAGGGGUUCUGAGAGGAAGGUCCCCCACAUUGGAACUGAGACACGGUCCAAACUCCUACGGGAGGCAGCAUG